GCGGCGCGAGACCCCUCGCCUCGGCGUCCUCCCGCCAACGGCCGCGCCGCGCGCAGGCUCCCCUCAGGCGCGAGCCCCCCUCGGGCGCGAGCGCCCCCCCUCCCCAGCCCUCAGGUGCGAUAUCCCCCCAUCCCGCCCCGCCCCGCCCCGUCCCGUGCCGGCCCCGCACGCACCUGCCAGCACGGCCAGCGCGGCGAUCAGCGCCACAGCGCGCAUCGUCGGUCCCGUGAAGGGCGGCGACGGAGGCAGAGAGGGAAGGGGAAGGAAUACCGCGACAGAUGCUCCCAGCGUCUUUGCCAGGUCGUGCCAAUCCCAAGAAGUGAUGCCCAAGAGGUCUGGAAAAGAAGAUGCUGAAUCAGUCACUCGGAUGUUAACCUGGGACACACAGCCCCGGCAAACCUCCGGCAGUCCCUUUGUGCACAGAGCAAUUAAAACUGACUGGCAAUAUCCAA
This is a long non-coding RNA of Pseudopipra pipra, 452 nucleotides long. RefSeq lists it as uncharacterized. The record is from RefSeq and is a predicted model, not a curated record. The transcript is spliced from 2 exons. Lineage: Eukaryota; Metazoa; Chordata; Aves; Passeriformes; Pipridae.